RNAcentral lists this long non-coding RNA (1841 nucleotides) under Homo sapiens (human). RNAcentral's name for it is "HSALNT0070930". The record is from RNAcentral. Lineage: Eukaryota; Metazoa; Chordata; Mammalia; Primates; Hominidae.
GUUAAAUCUAGCAAACAACCUGACAGACUGUUCAGUCUUUAAUAAUGUGAGAAUAAACAGAAUAAAUUAAAAGCACACCAUAUUCUUCUCAGCUUCCUCAGGGGCUUUGUCCAAACAGCUUGAACAACUGCAAAAUAAUAUUCAGGAACCAUGAUAGUGUUUGGUACAUAGAGGACACUGGAAAUGGUUUUCUUAACUGAACAAGUGACUAGAAUAAAGGAAUUAAUGAACGACAUCAGAGCUGAAAUCCCAAACCAUAAAUCAUAAAAGGAUCAGACAGCAAAGGUGGUGAGGAUAAGAUGAGUUUAAUAAUACAUGGAAAGCCCUUAUCAGCACCUGGCAUAAAAUAAUCACUGUGGAUGGAUCUCACUUUGUUUCACACUCAACUCAAAUUCCUGGCCUCAAGCAAUCCUCCUACAUCAGCCUCCCAAAGCACUGAGACUACUGUCCCCUUAUUCCUUUUGUUGAUAUUCCCAAACCUAGCCCUGCAUUUGGGUCAUGUAGGAAGGAGUACAGUGGAAUAGAUGGAAUGGGCUUUAUGGACUGGACUGAAUUUUUCAAAAACAGUUAGAUCUCGGGACAUGACUUAAGAUAACUAGCAAAAAUUUAGUUUGAUGGUAUAAGUAAAAAUUUAUCUACUUUCUACCAAAAUUAUCAAAACCGAUUCUUCCAAGAUUGAAUUUCUCAACAUUACUUCAAAAGUAUAGGUAUUGUUUUGUUCAAUAUCUUAGCUAGAGUUAGCCAAACCACCCCCUCACCCCAGGAUUUCUAAUGGCUUCUUUCAAAGUAUGUCUGCAGUUCAUGUUAUUUUUCCUACUAAACAUAACAAAAAAAAAAAAAACUUGAAACUAGAACAAAGAAUACCUGAAGAGACUUAGAAUGUAAUGAUGUUAUAACACCUUAGCUGUAAGUACACACACAAACAUUACCACCAAUGAAAAUGGUGAUUCAAAAUCAAAUCACUUUAUGCAUAGCUGUAAGGCCUGUUGAAAAUUUCUAGAAAACCAGAUAUUUAUUUCAUUGUAUUUGCAUUUACACUGCAUUGUAUUUGGAAAUACAGUAUUUGGUUAACCUUAUUUUCCUGAUGACUGCAACAGAGUGAAAAUAAGAGACUGGGACAUGGGCAUCAUAGAGUCUCCCAUUCUUUUGUUUGUUUGUUUGUUUUUUUUUUUUUUUUUGAGACAGAGUCUCUCUCUGUUGCCCAGGCUGGAGUGCAGUGGUGUGAUCUCGGCUCACUGCAAGUUCUGCCCCCAGGUUCACGCCAUCCUCCUGCCUCGGCCUCCUGAGUAGCUGGGACUACAGGCGCCUGCCACUGUGCCUGGCUAAUUUUUCGUAUUUUUAGUAGAUACGGGGUUUCACUGUGGUCUCGAUCUCCUGACCUCGUGAUCCGCCCACCUCAGCCUCCCAAAGUGCUUGGAUUACAGGCCUGAGCUACCACGCCCAGCCAGAAUUUCCCAUUCUUAAGAAAUCAUAAUAGUACUUAGGAAUGGCUAUAUUAUUAGAUUUCUAUUUAGAAUGAAAAAAAGCAUAUAUUUUUUGAGAAAUAGGCACUAUUUUUAUUAGAGCAGCUCUAUCUCAUUGUGUUAGUUUUUUUUAUCCUAAACUUCAGGCUGUUUUUUUGGAGGGAUCUAGCCACCACUGUUAUCUUUUAACUAGCAAAACUUUUGACUUUUGCAUUUACUAUAAAGAGAAGUUUACAAUAGGAGAACAGGAUUUUCAAAAAAAAAAAAGGAUCAAAUUAUGUUUAGUAAUACACUCCUUCCCAUUUACAUGCUUUUUGUUGACUUUGCAGAAUUACAAGUAGUGCUUCUAGGUCAAGUGAAGUUUCACAUGCAAGGUUG